This 482-nucleotide ribosomal RNA is filed under the name uncultured bacterium. Its description in RNAcentral is "partial 16S ribosomal RNA". It matches the Rfam family "Bacterial small subunit ribosomal RNA", at positions 28 to 523 of the family's 1533-position model. The record is from RNAcentral.
GACGAACGCUGGCGGCGUGCUUAACACAUGCAAGUCGAACGAUGAAACCUAGCUUGCUAGGUCGAUUAGUGGCGAACGGGUGAGUAACACGUGACUAACCUGCACCUUUCCCUGGGAUAACGCACCGAAAGGAGUGCUAAUACCGGAUACCCACAACGAGGCACAUGCCUGGGUGUGGAAAGUUUUUCGGAAAGGGAUGGAGUCGCGGCCUAUCAGCUUGUUGGUGAGGUAACGGACCACCAAGGCGACGACGGGUAGCCGGCCUGAGAGAGCGACCGGCGACACUGGGACUGAGACACGGCCCAGACUCCUACGGGAGGCAGCAGUGGGGAAUAUUGCACAAUGGGCGCAAGCCUGAUGCAGCGACGCCGCGUGAGGGAUGAAGGUCUUCGGAUUGUAAACCUCUUUCAGUAGGGACGAAGCGAAAGUGACGGUACCUAAAGAAGAAGCACCGGCUAACUACGUGCCAGCCGCCGCGGUAA